GGAGGUCUGCACUCUUCGAGUGCUUUUCUAGAAAAGCAAAUCUUUAUCAUAUCUUUUUUUUAUUUGUUUUUAAACAGCAGAAAAGUCUUGGAUCAAAGGUUCAUGUGUGAGAGUGUUGGUCACUCAUUUGUAAUCAGAGUCAGAUAUUUCGUUAAUAUGUUUUGAAACAGCUUCUUAAGAAUUUCAGUGUUGUAUUGUCAGCAGCUCCACCCAGUUGGUGAGGUGAACGAUACAAAUUUUUGAUAACCUAACGUUCUUAAGAAACUGUUUCCUGUUUGAGUUUGAGCUAAGGAGCAAACUUCAAAGCAGUCCUUUUCUGACUCACCUUCUUCUAAAUCUGUUGUCUAUGCUUCAAGUAUAUUAGUCAAUAAUUCUCCAAAUUUACCUUCACACUGUCUGCAUGGUAGACACCUGACUGUUACUUUCUAGGCAGUUCUGAGUAGAAGUUUCUAAAGCGGAUAGAGGAGAAAAGGUCUGGACUUCAGGCAGACCAGUUCAACACCUGCACUCUUCUUCUAUGAAUCCAUGUUGUUGUAGUAAAUUCAUUGUGUGCUUUCAUUCUGUCUUGCUGAAAUAUACAAGGUCUUCUCUGAAAUAGAUGUUGUGUGGAUUCUCUAAAACCUGUAUAUACUCAUAAGCACUGAUGGUGUUUUCCAGAUGUACAAGCUGCAGAUUCCUCAGACACUAAUGUACCCCCAUACCAUCAAAGAUGCAGCUUUUGGAGUGAACACUGACACCAGGCUGGACGGUCCUUCUACUCUAUCAUUUGGACGACAGUGAGAUGGCAGCACUCCCCAUCACACAUGGCGGCCCCGGCCCGGUGAUUCCAGGAUACGGUCCCAUUGAGGAGGCCACAGAGGGAUUUGUGAUUCUUUGUCAUCAGCUCAAGACCAGAGCCCAGGCAAAAGCACACAAGGUUUUUGAUGACUUUGCGGCAAUUUCUUACCGGGCUCAGAUUGUAGCUGGAAAAAACUUCAUAUUCAAGGUAAAUUCUUGUUGGAGGAGAAAACUACAUCCACGCGAAGGUCUUCUGGGCACUGCCCUGCUAUGGAGGAGGAGUGGUGCUGGUUGAUGUACAGGAGAACAAGACUAAAACUGACUCCAUCGAACCUUUCUAAUGUGGCCACAGUAAACUCAUCAACACCUCUGGGUUUGAAUACAGAGUGUUUUGCUUCUUUCACAUCAAUAAAAUAAAUAAUUCUUAAAAUCAGCAUAUUAAUCAGAUUAAAACAUGGCUGUGGGUAUGUGGUGUUGAGACCUUCAUAUUUUACCUCUCAGAUUAAAACACAUUUCAAUGAAACAUCAAA
This is an RNA transcript of Sphaeramia orbicularis (orbiculate cardinalfish), 1307 nucleotides long. It is a transcript of the gene named cystatin-B-like, with no coding region annotated. NCBI's taxonomy places the organism in Eukaryota, Metazoa, Chordata, Actinopteri, Kurtiformes, Apogonidae. The transcript has 5 exons. The record is from RefSeq and is a predicted model, not a curated record.